CUGCGAAGCUCCUGGCAGGAUGCCACUUGUUCUUUUGUCCUCCCACUUGGUCUACGACAAGCUUUAUUCCAAACCAAUCCUACCCAGAUCUCAUGUAUCCCCUCCCCCAGCUGUAUGUCUGUGUCACCCUACUACGCUCUCUCCUCUUUUCUCCUUUCCUCUGCUGCUUGCUGGCUUCAUUCAUUGACUAAUGCGGCUGGGCUAAAGGCAGAAAUAGAAAGAUGGAGGGAUUUGAAAAAGAGCAGAGUGUGAUUUUAUCUGAGAAUCCACAGAGGCGUUGGAUGGAAAAGCAACCGUGUCUUUUGCACAAAAACCCACAUCAUCUGAAUAUUCGGAAGGACCAAGAGUUAUACAAUCUGAGAAUGCAAAGUUACGGAGAAAAGAUGCUGAGAGAAAAGAUGGAAGACUAUAAUCAGUUUAAGAGAAAGUUGAGGGUGUGUGUUGCAACAUGCAACAGAGCGGACUACUCCAAGCUUGCCCCCAUCAUGUUUGGGAUCAAAACCAACCCUGACGAGUUUGAAUUGGAAGUUGUGGUGCUUGGCUCACAUCUCAUCGAUGACUACGGGAACACUUUCCGUAUGAUCGAGCAGGACAACUUUGACAUUGGCUCUAAGCUACACACCAUUGUGAGAGGAGAGGAUGAGGCAGCCAUGGUGGAGAGCGUUGGGCUGGCACUUGUGAAACUCCCUGAUGUACUACAGAGGCUGCGCCCUGACAUCCUGGUCGUCCAUGGUGACCGGUUUGACGCGUUGGCCCUAGCAACUGCUGCAGCGCUGAUGAACAUUAGAAUACUUCACGUGGAGGGAGGAGAGGUGAGUGGUACAAUUGAUGACUCAAUCCGCCACGCCAUCAGUAAACUGGCCCAUUACCACGCCUGCUGCACACGCAGGGCAGAGCAGCACCUCAUCGCCAUGUGCGAGGACCACUCGCGCAUCCUGCUGGCUGGCUGCCCUUCAUAUGAUAAGCUGCUGUCAAAUAAUCACAGAGACGACUACAUGGAUAUCAUCAAGAGCUGGCUGGGUGACAAGGUGCAGGAGUGUGACUACAUUGUGGCUUUGCAGCACCCAGUUACCACUGACAUCCAGCACUCUAUUAAGAUCUACGGGCUGAUGCUGGAUGCCCUGAUCGCCUUCGAUAAAAAGACCCUCAUCCUCUUCCCUAACAUUGAUGCUGGAAGUAAGGAGAUGGUGCGCGUGAUGCGAAAGAAGGGAAUCGAACAGCACCCCAACUUCCGGGCGGUGAAGCACAUUCCCUUUGAUCAGUUCAUCCAGCUGGUGAACCACGCCGGCUGCAUGAUUGGAAACAGCAGCUGCGGGGUACGAGAGGCAGGGGCCUUCGGCACGCCUGUCAUUAACCUUGGAACAAGGCAAACUGGCAGAGAAACGGGUGAGAAUGUUCUACAUGUCAGAGAUGACGACACUCAGAAUAAGAUCUACCACGCUCUGGAGCUGCAGUAUGGAAAGAGAUACCCUUGCUCCAAGAUUUACGGCGAUGGAAAUGCAGUGCCUCGCAUUCUCAAGUUUUUACAAACCAUUGACCUGGAUGAACCUCUGCAGAAGACUUUCUGUUUCCCCCCCGUUAAAGACUCCAUCUCCCAGGACAUUGAUCACAUCCUGGAGACACAGAGCGCUCUGGCUAUUGACCUGGGAGGGACCAACCUCAGGGUGGCGAUUGUCGGGAUGAGGGGUAACAUAGUAAAGAAGUACACUCAGCCCAAUCCAAAGACCUACGAGGCCAGGAUGCAGCUUAUAUUGAAGAUGUGUGCAGAUGCCAUGCAUGACUCAGUCAGCCUCAACUGUAGAAUACUCGGUGUUGGAGUGUCCACUGGCGGGCGUGUAAACCCACAAGAAGGUGUGGUCCUGGACUCCACAAACCUGAUCCAGGAGUGGUCCUCAGUGGACCUGAGGACACCCAUCUCUGACUCCCUGCACCUACCCGUCUGGGUCGACAAUGACGGUAACUGUGCUUCGUUGGCUGAGAAGAAAUUUGGUCACGGCAAGAGGGUGGAGAACUUUGUCACUGUCAUCACAGGAACAGGUAUUGGCGGAGGGAUUAUCCAUAACAAUGAGCUGGUUCACGGCAGCACCUUCUGCGCUGCAGAGCUGGGCCACAUCAUGGUUUCAUUAGAAGGUCCAGAGUGUUCGUGUGGUAGCAGAGGAUGCAUAGAGGCCUACGCGUCCGGCAUGGCCCUGCAGAAAGAGGCCAAAAGGCUGCACGACGAGGACCUGCUGGAGGUGGAGGGGAUGAAUAUAAAGCUUGCAGAGCCGAUCACUGCUGCCCACCUCAUCAGUGCAGCCAGACUGGGGAACAACAACGCGGACACUGUUCUGAACAAAGCCUCCACGGCGCUAGGUGUGGGCAUCGUUAACAUCCUCCACACAGUGAACCCCACACUGGUGAUUCUGUCCGGAGUCUUGGCCUCUUACUACCAAGCCCCAGUGCAGCGCAUCAUCUCUGAGAGAGCGCUACCGUCUGCCCAGAACAUCAAGGUCGUCACAUCAGAGUUGGAGGAACCUGCUCUACUUGGAGCAGCGAGCAUGGUGUUAGACUAUGCAACCAGAAGGCUAUAUUGAAGGAUAUAGUCCUGAUUUAACAAGGACCGUUGCCAACAAAAGGACUACAAAACUGAAAGUAGCACAUGUACUGCCCAGAUAGACACAUAAGCAUAGGGGAUACAUUUUGAAGGCUAGACAAUUAUAAUGUGUGUGUGUGUGUGUGUGUGUGUGUGUGUGUGUGUGUGAGAGAGAGAGUGUGAGAGAGAGUGUGAAUACGUUGCACAGAUACCAGUUUACUAUCCCAACAGUUAGCUCCACUGCCUAGAUAGAAGUUAGUUAUAAUGUCUGUUUGUUGUGGUCCUUCUAGUCCCUUUUGUGUAUUUGUAGGUGGUUGUGACGGUGAUUGUUCAUUGGCUUCUCAUCCCCAUUUUGCUUUGUGUACUGUGUUGUAGUUAGUAGCUGAGUUUGUGCUUGCAGAUUGGGUGGGGAAUAGAAGUAAAGACCUUGUAAGUAGAAAGGUAUUACGGCAGUGGAAUUAUUACUAUGUUUGUGGGUGGGGUGUGAUGAGGGAUUACAUUUGUUUAGCCAUAAUCUGUGGCUUGCAUCUCCAAAUGUCUUGUGAUAGUGGCACUGAUCCAUUUUUUUCAGAUUGUAGUUUUCUUUUCUUUUCUUACUUUUGUGUUUUAAUUUCAAGUGCUAUGUGGUAAACCCUGUAGUGUAAAUAUCAUCUUCUUUUUUGUUUGAUAGAUGGUUUAAAAGUGCCAAACUUUCACCAAGAAGAAAUUGAUCUGUUCCACAAUUCUGACACAUGAAAUCCAAGUAAACGCAUUCUUUGCCACACCUCUAAAUAGUCUGCUUUUCAGCCGCAGUGCAUGGCUAAGGCCCAGCUGCGCUUCCAGUUCUUUUGGACUUGGUUAAAAAAAGAAAGAAAAAAAAGCCACUUGCCAUUAUUGUUCCUUUUUUAAUCAAGGACAAGUAUAUAGAUGAGCUCAUCAUUCCUAUACUUGGGUCUUGUUGAGGAAAAGAGAACAUUAUAAAUAUGCAACCACAGGGCAAGUUGAAGUUUCCCCUCCCCCAGUUCUGUACAGAACUGCAUUUUUAACCAACCAAAGAUGCUUUUCAGACCUUACAAUUACUUUGUUUAGCUUUUGUUUCUGUUUGUUUUCUUUGGAGUUCUCAUCAGUGUUUUAAAUGUACCUCCCUUAACUGUUGUGGCGAGUCAAAAAUACAGGUGACUGUAAUGUGUAAGCAGAGUUGGGGGCAUGCCACAGGUAAUGAAACUGUUGUAGCUUGUUUCUCUUUGUGGGCCUGAAGACAGAUGGAUGUCCAUUGUUUCUGUGUUGUGAUUGGAAUGUCCUGCCCUGAGGUAGACUCUGCUGAACCAUCAAUGUCCCAUCAAACCAUAAAAGGAGAUUGUAGAUAUUUAUGCUCAAUAGAUUUGAGGACUUUUUCUCAAAUCUUGAUGCCAGAUUGAAAUUUUAACUUUGAUUUAAAGUGGACAUAUCCUUAAAAAAAAGUAACUUGUUCAGUGCUUGUGCACAGACAUUUAGGUAUCGGGAGUGCCUACCAACCCACAAAUGUUGAAAUAAGACAACCCAGUCUGUCUGUUGUGGGCUGCUUGAGUCAGAAAACGUGAUUCAACAAGCCCUUCAGUUUUGUCUCCCCUUCCUAUGUCACAUGCAGGCUCAUUACAAUAUACCGCCCUCAUUAGAGUAUCUCCACAAAACUACCAUCGCAAUAUUUCUUGGAACGUAAUAGAGCAGAUGGGGUCCUUUUUUGAGACAGGCGCUAAAGUGAAGGUGCUUAAGACUAUGAGAAAAACAAUCAGUUACUUAGCAUGGUACUCUGUCCCCAUUAAUAUAUCUGAAAAAGUAAAUUGUCAGAGGCUCGAUUGUAUUUUCCAGCCAAACUUGUGAUUGUCGGUGAUCAGCAGAGGACUUCCUAAGAGCCGUACGUGUACUUUGGUGUAUCUUGCUUCUUCCUCCACUGAUUGUGUUCUAUUCCAUGUCCUCUUCAUCCUCUUCCCUUUUUU
Cottoperca gobio is the source of this 4527-nucleotide RNA transcript. It is a transcript of the gene named glucosamine (UDP-N-acetyl)-2-epimerase/N-acetylmannosamine kinase, with no coding region annotated. The transcript has 16 exons. NCBI's taxonomy places the organism in Eukaryota, Metazoa, Chordata, Actinopteri, Perciformes, Bovichtidae. The record is from RefSeq and is a predicted model, not a curated record.